Molecule: non-coding RNA, 483 nt
Organism: Pelobates cultripes (western spadefoot toad)
Lineage: Eukaryota; Metazoa; Chordata; Amphibia; Anura; Pelobatidae
Source: the annotation of a GenBank genome assembly
GUUUACUUGAGCAGUCAAUGGAAUGUAAUUUGGGUAUCGAACGGUUAAUUGCAGAGGAAUAUGGUGAUCUAAUAGAGGGAAAGGGUUAAAUGCCAAGUGAAUGUGAUAAUGCUAAUUAGGAAGGGAUAUGGAAAAAAACCACCUUCAGAGGUAUGUGGGAAUCUACUUUGGCUAGGAAUGUAGCUAUGUAAAAUGUGGAGUGAGUGUCAAUGCUAACAGCAAUUAGGCCCUGGGGAGAUAGCGCAGCUAAGCGGACAAGGGCACAUGUUGGAGUGUGGGGAUAGACGAAUGGGAUUAGUUGGGAAAGAGUGUGUGGGUGGGAUUAUGUUCUGUGUAAAUUAGUGUGGGGGAGAUCUUACCUCAGUGCCACUUGGGAUACGGGCCAGCAAACAGCUUCCUGUCCUGCUCCUGUUUGCCUGGGCCUGUAGUUUCACAGCUUGAGGGAUGGAGGUUGAGGCUUUCUGGCUUCCCUCAGGGCUGCUG